AUUGAACGCUGGCGGCAUGCCUUACACAUGCAAGUCGAACGGCAGCGCGGGCUUCGGCCUCGCGGCGGGUGGCCAACGGGUGAGUAAUUCAUCGGAACGUGCCCAGCAGCUGGGGCUAGCUCGGCGAAAGCCGGAUUAAUACCCCAUACCACCAUGGGACGAAAGCGGGGGAGCUUCGGAUCUCCCGCCAUUGGGCGAGCCGAUGGCGGAUUAGCUAGUUGGUGGGGUAAAGGCCUACCAAGGCGACGAUCUGUAGCUGGUCUGAGAGGACGACCAGCCACACUGGGACUGAGACACGGCCCAGACUCCUACGGGAGGCAGCAGUGGGGAAUUUAGGACAAUGGGCGAAAGCCUGAUCCAGCAAUGCCGCGUGUGUGAUGAAGGCCUUCGGGUUGUAAAGCACUUUUGGCGGGAAAGAAAAGGAGUGUGCUAAUACCACGGUGUGCUGACGGUACCCGAAGAAUAAGCACCGGCUAACUACGUG
This 484-nucleotide ribosomal RNA is filed under the name uncultured bacterium. RNAcentral describes it as "partial 16S ribosomal RNA". It matches the Rfam family "Bacterial small subunit ribosomal RNA", at positions 29 to 507 of the family's 1533-position model. The record is from RNAcentral.